Molecule: long non-coding RNA, 1323 nt
Filed under: Populus tremula
Lineage: Eukaryota; Viridiplantae; Streptophyta; Magnoliopsida; Malpighiales; Salicaceae
Description: long non-coding RNA (PTRE_LNC001494)
Source: RNAcentral
AAACUAUAAAAAUACAUAAUAUUAAUUCAAUAAAAAAAUAAUCUAAAAAUACAACUUUGGAAAAGAACACAAGUAAACACUUCCGUAUUCAACAAUGCCGAACAACUUGGAUCUACCAGGAAAAAAAAAAAAAAAAAAACCCGCAGACACUGACACAUGAAAAGACAUGAAGCAGCUCCUUUGCUAGCACUUUGCCCUUUCAGUUCAUGGACUUUCCCUCUGUAACUUGUGCUUCAUUGCUGGGCACAUCUUUUACAAGAGGGUUGUGCAAGCUAGUAAGCAGAACCCAUUUUCUGGGCAGGCAAUUAGACAAUCUAGUGGCUUUGGCUUACAGAGCCGACACCAAUCUGGGAUCACUGGUUCUGUGAUGGUCUAGCAAGAACUGGGUAAUUACUUCUGCCAUGGAGGUGUUGGUCUGUAGCUCUGGAAGGAGAAAUGACAGGCAACGAGGGAGACAAGCACCUGCAAAGACAUAAAGACGGGUUAGUAGGUGGAUGUCACAAUUCCAUUUCUUUCUAUUUUCUUCUUUCCCAAUCGAUAUUUUCAAUCGCAACCCACAAUUUCAGCAAAUUUAUUUAUUCUCCAUAGUUCCCUCCAUUAAGAUAAGAAAAAGAGAGGAAUUCAGAACCAUUACAGCUUCCUUAUGGCUUCCAAAAUAGAGAUACGCCGAACAUCGCCAUGAACACACCUCAAGAGUUUUUUUUUUUUUUUGUGAGCUGGGAAAUGGAAAAUGUCAACAGUGAAAUAGUAAGAUUAGCCUCGAUGUAUUUUGAUUUUUAGGCCCUUUGAAUCGAUUCAAGUAAAAUAUAUCAUAUUCAAAUGUCUAUAUCACAUAGGAAGUUCACUCAACAACCUCGCCAAGGAAUUAAAUUAACACGGGCCGAUAGAAAAGACAAAGGAAAAAGGCAACAGCGAUGGAUGAUGGACCUCACCACCCCUGUCAAACAUCUCUCCGUGUAUCGAAUUUUUUUUUAUUGGAAAUGAAAAGGUUAUCUGGUCACCGACAAAAUUGUAACAGAAGGGAGGGAGGUAGCUAAGCUAACCACAGCUCAGAUGCAGCUUUUCUCGCUUUCUUUUCACCCCUGCUAAUAAAAUUAGGUUAUCUAUCUACAGCAACCAAAGCAGGCACGUGACCUCUGCAUGUUUACCUGCUCUUCCAUUAUGGUGGGUGGCGUUCAAGCUUCUAACGGGUACACAUUUAUGGGAAAGAAAAGGAUGUGGUCAUCAUUUGUUUUUGGGUGGUAAAUCACAUGAUUGUUGAUUCAAUAAAGAGAAAAACUUGUGUGAAAGUGGGAAUAUGGUGCAGCAUCAUGUCAACCAUGG